Non-coding RNA from Corylus avellana, 118 nucleotides. Lineage: Eukaryota; Viridiplantae; Streptophyta; Magnoliopsida; Fagales; Betulaceae. The record is from RefSeq and is a predicted model, not a curated record.
GACUUGGAUAUUGAACAGCAACAACAAUAACAAUAAAAUGGAUUUAUCUUACAACAAGUUUUUGGGAUCAUCUGAUGCUACUAGUUGUGAAAUGCUGUCACCGAAUUUGGUUUCCGGU